Molecule: transfer RNA, 81 nt
Filed under: Apaloderma vittatum (bar-tailed trogon)
Lineage: Eukaryota; Metazoa; Chordata; Aves; Trogoniformes; Trogonidae
Rfam family: tRNA
About the family: Transfer RNA (tRNA) molecules are approximately 80 nucleotides in length. Their secondary structure includes four short double-helical elements and three loops (D, anti-codon, and T loops).
Source: Rfam by way of RNAcentral
GGCCGGUUAGCUCAGUGGUUUGAGCGCAGUGCUGAAAACAAUGACAACACCGGGUCGCAGGUUCAAGUCCUGCUCAGUCCC